This 499-nucleotide ribosomal RNA is filed under the name Bacillus sp. 2CB131. RNAcentral describes it as "bacterial SSU rRNA". It matches the Rfam family "Bacterial small subunit ribosomal RNA", at positions 56 to 537 of the family's 1533-position model. Lineage: Bacteria; Bacillati; Bacillota; Bacilli; Caryophanales; Bacillaceae. The record is from RNAcentral.
UGCAAGUCGAGCGAAUCGAUGGGAGCUUGCUCCCUGAGAUUAGCGGCGGACGGGUGAGUAACACGUGGGUAACCUGCCUGUAAGAUUGGGAUAACUCCGGGAAACCGGAGCUAAUACCGGAUAACAUUUCGAACCGCAUGGUUUGAAAUUGAAAGACGGCGUCUAGCUGUCACUUACAGAUGGACCCGCGGCGCAUUAGCUAGUUGGGGAGGUAACGGCUCACCAAGGCAACGAUGCGUAGCCAACCUGAGAGGGKGAUCGGCCACMCUGGGACUGAAACACGGCCCAAACUCCUACGGGAGGCAGCAGUAGGGAAUCUUCCGCAAUGGACGAAAGUCUGACGGAGCAACSCCSCGUGAACGAUGAAGGCCUUCGGGUCGUAAAGUUCUGUUGUUAGGGAARAACAAGUACCAAAGUAACUGCUGGUACCUUGACGGUACCUAACCAGAAAGCCACGGCUAACUACGUGCCAGCAGCCCCGGUAAUACGUAGGUGGCAA